Molecule: small nuclear RNA, 107 nt
Filed under: Dasypus novemcinctus (nine-banded armadillo)
Lineage: Eukaryota; Metazoa; Chordata; Mammalia; Cingulata; Dasypodidae
Source: RNAcentral
GUGCUUGCUUCAGCAGCACAUAUUCUAAAAUUGGAACCAUACAGAGAAGAUAAGUGUGGUUCUUGUGCACGAAUGAUGUGCAAAUUCGUGAAGAGUUCCAUCUUUUA